CCAUGCAUUGCUGUGUCCUCGUGCAUGGCGUCGCCAUGCAUUGCUGUGUCCUCGUGCAUGGCAUCGCCAUGCAUUGCUGUGUCCUCGUGCAUGGCGUCCCCAUGCAUUGCUGUGUCCUCGUGCAUGUCGUCCCCAUGCAUUGCUGUGUCCAUGCGUGUCACAUCCCUGUGCACCUCCGUGUCUGCAUGAGUCACGUCCCCAUGCAUCAUCACAUCCCCAUGCAUUGCUGUGUGUGUGUGUCACAUCCUCCUGCAUUGCAUUUCAAUGCAUCACCGUCCCCAUGCAUCGCCAUCCCCAUGCAUUGCUCUGUGUGUCACAUCCUCCUGCAUUGCAUCCCCAUGCAUCACAUCCCCAUGCAUUGCAGUGGGUGUGUGUCACAUCCCCAUGCACCCCCAUCCCCAUGCAUUGCACCCCCAUGCAUCACCACCCCCAUGCAUUGCUCUCUGUGUGUGUCACAUCCCCAUGCAUCACUGUCUGCAUGCAUCGCAUCCCCAUGCACCCCCAUCCUCCUGCAUUGCAUCCCCAUGCAUCACAUCCCCAUGCAUUGCAGUGGAUGUGUGUCACAUCCCCAUGCAUCCCCAUCCCCAUGCAUUGCAUCCCCAUGCACCCCCAUCCCCAUGCAUUGCAUCCCCAUGCAUUGCUCUCUGUGUGUGUCACAUCCUCCUGCAUUGCACCCCCAUGCAUCACCAUCCGCAUGCAUCACAUCCCCAUGCACCCCCAUCCUCCUGCAUUGCAUCCCCAUGCAUCACAUCCCCAUGCAUUGCAGUGGGUGUGUGUCACAUCCCCAUGCACCCCCANCAUCCCCAUGCACCCCCAUCCUCCUGCAUUGCAUCCCCAUGCAUCACAUCCCCAUGCAUUGCAGUGGGUGUGUGUCACAUCCCCAUGCACCCCCACCCCCCCCCCCCCCCACCCCCCACCCCCCCCACAGCGUGUCACUGCGUGUUCAUUGCGUGUUCAUUGCGUGUCACUGCUUGUUCCAUGCAUGUCAUUGUGUGUUCCAUGCGUGUCACGGCGUGUCACGGCGUGUCACUGCUUGUUCCAUGCGUGUCAACGUGUGUUCCAUGCAUGUCAAUGUGUGUUCCAUGCGUGUCACUGCUUGUUCCAUGCGUGUUAGUGUGUGUUCCAUGCGUGUCACUGCGUGUUCCAUGUGUGUCACAGCAUGUUCCAUGUGUGUCACUCUGUGUUCCAUGUGUGCCAAUGCGUGCCCCAUGCAUGUCACUGCGUGUGCGAAGUGCCGUGUGUGAGCCGUGUGCUGCAUGUCAUGCGUAGUGGGCUGCAUGUGUCACACCGUGCAGCAACACGUUUAACAUGUGUCAUCACACCUAACAUGUGUGUCAUCCCGUGUUCCACGUGUGUCAUCCCAUGUUCCAAGUGUGACAUCCCAUGUUCCAUGUGUGUCAUCCCGUGUUCCAUUUGUGAAAUCCCAUGUUCCACGUGUGUCAUUCCAUGUUCCAUGUGUGUCAUCCCAUGUUCCACGUGUGUCAUCCCAUGUUCCCUGUGUGUCAUCCCAUGUUCCACGUGUGUCAUCCCAUGUUCCAUGUGUGUCAUCCCAUGUUCCAUGUGUGUCAUCCCAUGUUCCACGUGUGUCAUCCCAUGUUCCAUGUAUGUCAUCCCGUGUUCCAUGUGUGACAUCCCAUGUUCCACGUGUGUC
This 1651-nucleotide long non-coding RNA is filed under the name Coturnix japonica (Japanese quail). Its description in RNAcentral is "lncRNA (ENSCJPG00005003509.1)". The record is from RNAcentral. Lineage: Eukaryota; Metazoa; Chordata; Aves; Galliformes; Phasianidae.